This 443-nucleotide ribosomal RNA is filed under the name uncultured bacterium. RNAcentral's name for it is "partial 16S ribosomal RNA". It matches the Rfam family "Bacterial small subunit ribosomal RNA", at positions 338 to 795 of the family's 1533-position model. The record is from RNAcentral.
CCUACGGGUGGCAGCAGUGGGGAAUAUUGGGCAAUGGGCGCAAGCCUGACCCAGCAACGCCGCGUGAAGGAAGAAGGCUUUCGGGUUGUAAACUUCUUUUAUUGAGGAAGAAACAAAUGACGGUACUCAAUGAAUAAGCCACGGCGAACUACGUGCCAGCAGCCGCGGUACUACGGAGGUGGCAAGCGUUCUCCGGAUUUACUGGGUGUAAAGGGCGUGUAGGCGGGACUGCAAGUCAGAUGUGAAAACGAUGGGCUCAACCCAUGGCCUGCAUUUGAAACUGUAGUUCUUGAGUGAGGGAGAGGUAGGCGGAAUGCCGGGUGUAGCGGUGAAAUGCGUAGAGAUACAGAGGAACACCAGUGGCGAAGGCGGCCUGCUGGACCUUAACUGACGCUGAGGCGCGAAAGCGUGGGGAGCAAACAGGAUUAGAUACCCUUGUAGUC